Molecule: long non-coding RNA, 2250 nt
Organism: Onychostoma macrolepis
Lineage: Eukaryota; Metazoa; Chordata; Actinopteri; Cypriniformes; Cyprinidae
Exons: 4
Source: RefSeq, a predicted model, not a curated record
AGUCAUUCAGAGGUUAUGAUUUUUGGGCUGCUGUUAUUGGAUAUCAUGCUCCAGUUCGGGACGCCAUUGGUCUGGAGCUUGUCAGUCUGUGGCGCGCCGGCGCUCGCGAAGCCGCUGCGCAGACAGUGCACGACACGCGAGUGGCCAGAGAGUGUCUGGAGUCUGUCUGAAACUGAUAAAAAUGGUGAUGGAGUUUACCCAGAGUCUCGCUCAUACUCAUUAGAAAAACAAAGGGAGACAGAGCGGAAUUAUACAAUCAUCCAACACUGUAAUCUGAUCGUAGCUUGAAAACUAGAUUCUAUUGUAGCGCAUUUCAAAGUUUUAUUCCAUGUUUUUCACCAGACAGACAGUUCAUUAAUUCACAGGCAGGAGGAUUACAUUUCUGAAGUCUUCUGAUGACCUCUUGGAGCUGUCACAGAUGCAGCUACACUUAAAGGUGAUACCUGUGUUCUGCGGUUGUGCUGCCGUGCUGCCGGAUAGUGAAGAGGAACAGAGCUGAUGUGUCUGCAGAGAUGAUACAGCAGAACAGCUUUUACCCACCUUCAUACGAUCAAUACAGAUAUAUAGCAAAUUUUCUAAAUCAGUUUUUGCUUAAGUUAAUGCUACAGUAAGUUCUAGUUCUUUUGUCAAGUUGCUCAAAUGAUCAACACUGUGAUAAUACAAUGUUAGAAUCAUUCUUAAUGUCAGACCUGUUUGUUCAAGCUUGUUUAAUUUGUCAAAUGUCGUCUUUAAAUAUACAUCACUUAUCAUUUUAUUUAAUAAACAUGAUCUAUAUGUAUUAUCCAGAUGAAUAUAUCAAGAUAUAAUUGAGCCUCGAGUUAGAUAAAUCAGUAUUUUGUCUGUAUUCCAAGUCCUUUUAUUAUUACUUAAAGGCUCAUCCAUAUGCUGCAGAAAUACAGCUUUUUUUAAUAAGCACAACUCACCAUGACAGUAAAUGCAAAUUAAUUGCAUUUUAGAUGCACUCUACUGAUUUUAUUUUUUACAUUUGUAAUGAGUGCUAGUGUAGGCGCAAUUGUAAAAAAAAAAAAAAAAAAAAAUCUACAGGCAUUUAUUUUUCGAUUUUAAUGUGCAUUGAAACUAAGUUUUAAACAUGUACUAACAUGUUUUUUUUUUCAUAUCAGGAAGGAGCUAGCAUACACACAUCAUUCGCUUAAAAUUUGUAGACCUUUAAACUAAAUGUUUUAAAUGGUUAUUUUGUCCUGCUCGUGGUUAGUUGGAGUCACGGCCAAUUAUGUCUCCAAAUGUCGUACAGUAUAAGGUCAAAAGUCGCUGUGCUGUAUUAGAAAGAUGACAGUAACCAUUCUGGAAAGGUCAGCUACUCAGUUUGUUUCCAAAGAUGAAGUGCCACAUGACGCCUUUGAGCUUUUGAUUUACUUUAUAUUAGAUUUAGUUAAUGAUAUGUCUCCCUGUUUAAUGUUCAGAAGUAAACUUCUACAUCCAAAUGUUCUCAGUUGUCCAAUAAGAUUUUAAAUAUGCCCUGGUCUCAUUUGCAUUGAAGUCAGAUUUGAAAGGUUUUGAGUAAAUGGUUAAUGAGUUGUAAUGUGUGGUUAUUUUAAUUAGAAUUUUGAAGUGGUGGGCUUCUCUAGACACUGAACAAACUUUAAAUGUAACCCUCACUCGAGUGAUUUAAAAGAUUCUGAUGUGCGAGUAUACUAAAUGUGAACAUGUCUGCAACAGAUUACUUUAAUUGUACUUUGGUUUUUAAAUAACAAUACAUUUGUUUAGUUUUUAUUCAGGGCCAGUCAGUUAACUUUUUUUUUUUUCUUUUCUUUUGUAAAAGAAACUUAAGGAGUAGAUUCAGCACUGCUGUUUUAUUAAUACCAGAUCUCAAGGCAUUUAUUUAACUGAAAAUACAGUAAAGACAAUGAUGUUUUGAAGUAUUAUCGCAAAUCAAAUAACUGUUUUCUGCUUAAAUAUAUUAGAAAAUGUAACUUCUUCCUUGUGAUGGCAAAGCUUAAUUUUCAGCAGUCUUCAGUGUCGCAUGAUCCUUAAGAAAUCAUUCUGCUGAUUUGCUUUUCAAGAAACAUUGUCUUAUUAUUAUCAAUGUUGAAAAAAAUUGUAGUUGUUGCUUAAUAUUUUUGUGGAAACUGAUGAAUAAAAAGUUUAAAAGAACUUAAUUAUUUUAAGAAAUCAUUUGUAAUGUUAUGAAUUUCUUUGCUGUCACACAUCCAUUUAAUACAUCUUUGCUGAAUAAGUGUUUUUUUUUUUUUUAAUCCUGCUGACCCACAACUUUUGAACCGUAGUGUAAUA